AUGGAGGGCAAACCAGCGAGUACGGAGACGCAAACGCCCAUGCGUCCGGACGGUGCCGACGAGGAGAUGGCUCAUGAGGCGGAGAGAUUCGCUACGUACAUAGUUACUGGGACUGCGUUGAGUUCCAUGCAAUAUACACACUACACCCCCGGACGCAUCCCAACCAAUAGUGCCGGGUCAACCCCGGAGACCUUGCAGAUCUUCUCCAUCAAGCUCCCGGAAAUAGCUGGUGGCCUUAAGUGGCCAUUGUCUGUGUAUGGCGUGGUUGCUGCCCGUGACAUCGUGGAUCACAACCGCAACAUUCUCUUCUCCUGCAUUAGGAGCCAGGCCCAGGAAUUGAAACAUGAUGAUCCUUUUUUGCGAUUGACUGGGCCAACCCGUGCAAUUGUGUGUUCGGACACGGUCGAAUUUGAAAUCCAACUGAAAGUAAAAGGUACAACACAGUCUCAAGAUGAAGCAUUGAUCAGAUGUGCACGCGAUUGCAAUGGAGGAUUUGGUCAUGGUGUAUCUACAGUUUGCUAUAAGAACUCUCGCUGCACACUUGAGUUAUGUUUGCAGCGAGUUGCUCAAACGGUCCAGGCCACUAUCUUGGGUAUCCAAGUUGUGAAAGGGUCAUGGCCUUUUGAAUAUGGUGCACGAGUUGCUUGCUCCUCGCUAUCAGAUGGAGCAAAACUGAAAGGUUUUGAUGGUUACCUGCAUGUGUGGAGGCAAGUUGUCUCUGUAGGAACCAGAGGAGAAUUGGGCGUUGAGAUACAAGCCUACUCCAAAUCUGGCGAUAUCGCUACAUGGGGUCAUGUUAGUUUCAUGACCAAAUUUUGCAACAUAAGUCAGGAGAAAUGUUCCCUUGAUGGCGCUGAGGUGUUGAUUACUGUUGCUUGGUCCCUAGUCCCUACGGAAAGAUUGUGUGCCAGUGCUACUCCACCUCUAUUCAAAGUGAACUGCAUUGGCGACAACCGUAUAGGAUUACCCGACCGACCCCGCGUCGCUCUUGUAGGAGCGAAUCGGGGGGUGGGGGGUCAUUGGCCAUCGCCGGCGCUCUCUCCCGCUCCCCUUUCACUCGUCGCCAUCGCCUCGCCACAGGACCGCCGGUGA
This 1092-nucleotide ribosomal RNA is filed under the name Triticum aestivum (bread wheat). Its description in RNAcentral is "partial small subunit ribosomal RNA". The record is from RNAcentral. Lineage: Eukaryota; Viridiplantae; Streptophyta; Magnoliopsida; Poales; Poaceae.